GGGGUGAAGUCGUAACAAGGUAACCGUAGGGGAACCUGCGGUUGGAUCACCUCCUUACCUUAAAGAACCUGCCUUUGCAGUGCUCACACAGAUUGUCUGAUGAA
RNAcentral lists this ribosomal RNA (104 nucleotides) under Klebsiella pneumoniae. RNAcentral describes it as "partial 16S ribosomal RNA". The stretch from base 1 to 57 matches the Rfam family "Bacterial small subunit ribosomal RNA", at positions 1477 to 1533 of the family's 1533-position model. Lineage: Bacteria; Pseudomonadati; Pseudomonadota; Gammaproteobacteria; Enterobacterales; Enterobacteriaceae. The record is from RNAcentral.